UCCUACGGGGGGCAGCAGUGAGGAAUAUUGGUCAAUGGUCGGGAGACUGAACCAGCCAAGCCGCGUGAGGGAGGAAGGUACAGAGUAUCGUAAACCUCUUUUGUCAGGGAACAAAGGCGGGGACGUGUCCCCGGAUGAGUGUACCUGAAGAAAAAGCAUCGGCUAACUCCGUGCCAGCAGCCGCGGUAAUACGGAGGGUGCGAGCGUUAUCCGGAUUUAUUGGGUUUAAAGGGUGCGCAGGCGGUCUGUUAAAUCAGCGGUCAAAGCCCGGGGCUCAACCCCGGCCCGCCGUUGAAACUGGCAGU
This 305-nucleotide ribosomal RNA is filed under the name uncultured bacterium. RNAcentral describes it as "bacterial SSU rRNA". It matches the Rfam family "Bacterial small subunit ribosomal RNA", at positions 337 to 640 of the family's 1533-position model. The record is from RNAcentral.